UAGUACGAGAGGACCGGAGUGGACGUACCCCUGGUGUUUGGGUUGUCAUGCCAAUGGCAUUGCCCAGUAGCUACGUACGGAAGGGAUAACCGCUGAAAGCAUCUAAGCGGGAAGCCCCCCUCAAGAUGAGAUCUCCCUGGACAUUUAAUGUCCCUAAAGGGCCGUAGUAGACCACUACGUUGAUAGGCUGGAUGUGGAAGUGUGGUAACACAUGAAGCUAACCAGUACUAAUUACCCGUGAGGCUUGACCAU
RNAcentral lists this ribosomal RNA (252 nucleotides) under Pseudomonadota bacterium. Its description in RNAcentral is "Proteobacteria bacterium (cold seep metagenome) partial 23S ribosomal RNA". It matches the Rfam family "Bacterial large subunit ribosomal RNA", at positions 2679 to 2925 of the family's 2925-position model. The record is from RNAcentral. Lineage: Bacteria; Pseudomonadati; Pseudomonadota.